This is a long non-coding RNA of Motacilla alba alba, 1149 nucleotides long. RefSeq lists it as uncharacterized. The record is from RefSeq and is a predicted model, not a curated record. The transcript is spliced from 3 exons. NCBI's taxonomy places the organism in Eukaryota, Metazoa, Chordata, Aves, Passeriformes, Motacillidae.
UCAUUUUUCUAUCAGCAAGUGAUGCCGGGUGAAUAACUUAUUUACAUGCCAAUGUGGAGGCCUGAAAUGGCCCGGGAUGGGAAAAACGCAGCGCCUCUGUUAUCAACAAUGAUAGCAGCAGCUCCUGGGAGCCACCCCGGGAGGAGGGCCCUAACGAGGCCGGGCGGCAGCGCGGAAUGGCAAUGGGUUUUUAAUUGGUGACACAUUAUAUUUAUCAAGCUGACAGCGGAGGGGCAGAGCAGCAACCUCCUCGCUGUGUGUUUGCCUUCCACGACUUCCUUUGAACCCAUUCACGUGUGAAAAGAAUGGAUGGAGGGAGAGCCUGGGGAGCAAAGGGAGCCCUCCCAGCCUGGGAAAGCCUGAUUGAUGGAGCCUCUCCCGCGCCGGGCGUCUGUGGCUCCGGGCCUUUGGCAUUCGCUGACAUUUUCGCCGAAGCGACCGUGAAAGGGCAGAUUUUCCUGGAAACGGAGCCGCGGCGGGGAAAACGCGCGGAGCCGCCUGCCCUGCCUGCUCCCCGGGGCCGGGCAGGGACCUGGAGCACCCCUGAUGGGAGAGGGUGCAGCGAGGGGGGCCCAUCCCAGCUCCUCUUCCACCAGGAGGGCCCAUCCUAAAUCCUUCUCCAUCAUCCCAGCUCCUCUUCCACCAGGAGGGCCCAUCCCAGCUCCUCUUCCAUCACCCCAGCUCCUUCUCCAUCACCCCAGCUCCUUCUCCAUCACCCCAGCUCCUUUUCCACCAGGAGGCCAAUCCCAGCUCUUUUUGAAAAGUAAUAUUUAUAUUACUUACUGGUUACUUACUUAUAUUACUUACUUAUUACUUACUGGUGCCAUCCAGCAAUGGGAAUGAUCCCACUAAAUCUGGGAUUCUGGAAUGAUUCCCAACUGGAAUGAUCCCAUUCAAUCUGGAAUGAUUCCCAGCUGGAAUGAUCCCAUUCAAUCUGGAAUUCUGGAAUUAUACCCAACUGGAGUGAUCCCAUUAAAUCUGGAAUUCUGGAAUUACUCCCAACUGGAAUGAUCCCAUUCAAUCUGGAAUGAUUCCCAGCUGGAAUGUUCCCAUUCAAUCUGGAAUUCCUGAUUUCUGAUCCCUGUUCUCCCCACUCGUCCUGACAGGACUCACAGGGAAAAGCAAUCUGGCCCGAGGAUAUUCUCAGGG